This 252-nucleotide ribosomal RNA is filed under the name uncultured bacterium. RNAcentral's name for it is "partial 16S ribosomal RNA". It matches the Rfam family "Bacterial small subunit ribosomal RNA", at positions 524 to 776 of the family's 1533-position model. The record is from RNAcentral.
UACGUAGGGGGCAAGCGUUGUCCGGAAUUAUUGGGCGUAAAGCGCGCGCAGGCGGUUAUUUAAGUCUGGUGUUUAAUCCUGGGGCUCAACCCCAGUUCGCAUCGGAAACUGGAUGACUUGAGUGUAGGAGAGGAAAGUGGAAUUCCAUGUGUAGCGGUGAAAUGCGUAGAGAUGUGGAGGAACACCAGUGGCGAAGGCGACUUUCUGGCCUAUAACUGACGCUGAGGCACGAAAGCCUGGGGAGCGAACGGG